This 928-nucleotide long non-coding RNA is filed under the name Cyanistes caeruleus (blue tit). RNAcentral describes it as "lncRNA (ENSCCEG00000012072.1)". The record is from RNAcentral. Lineage: Eukaryota; Metazoa; Chordata; Aves; Passeriformes; Paridae.
AUGAAUCUAACUAAAAAGAGUUUUGUUUUGUUUCUUUUUUUAUCUUUCCCUGCUAGGUGUUUGACUUUGAACUGUCCAAAAAGGAGAUGGAUGUCAUCCUCAGCUUUAACAGGAACUGGAGGGCAGUUCCAGUGGUCCAAGCUGUCAACCACAAGGACUACCCGUUCAAAGCAGAGUAUUAAAUGCAGGUGGUUCCUGCAAGACCUCCAUUUAACUCCUUCCACAUCAGCGUCUUUAGGGGCCUCCUAUGGUUCUUUCUCAAAUUGUCUCAAACCUGCUGAGAAAGAGACGGAUUAAAUAUGGCUUGAAGGAACCCAAACACAUCUCCAGAACAGAAAAGGCACAGCUCUUUUAGCUCACUCUCUCAAAGGUUAACAGGUAAGGAUAUGGGGUGGGUGUGCUCUGCUCAUGGAUUGAGCUGCUCUGAGGUGGGUCCCAAGAGGGACAAAAAUCAGAUUUCAGCCUCUGAGGAGAGGCUCAGCAGUGCCCAAACCCCUGGGACAGCUCCUGUGGGUGAAGAACACUUUCCAUGGGGACACGGCUGCACUAACCCUGAGCCAGCCCAAAAUCCUCUCCCCUGACACUUUGGUUUAAAAAAGGACAAGAAGAGCAAAACAAUUCUGCUUUGCACCACUCUAAACCAAAAGGAAGAGUUCACAGGUAUACCAUACCUCUGGCUUUACAUAAAAACACUAAAAAUGUGUGUGCACACAUUAAAGUGUAGAAAACCAAGAGUUUCUCUAUAUUUGAUCAUUUUCCUCAGUAAAGAAUUGAUGUUGCAAAGCAUCCUUAAAGCUGUUAAACUGGUCAGCAAACUUCCAUUCUCCCCCACUGGUUCUCAGCCAUAAAAUUAGUUUAAUUGGCUGUAUUUGGAGUGCUUUAGGUUAAAAUAGAAAUAAAAAGAGGACAAUUAACUAGGUUGUCUUCA